RNAcentral lists this ribosomal RNA (524 nucleotides) under uncultured bacterium. RNAcentral describes it as "bacterial SSU rRNA". It matches the Rfam family "Bacterial small subunit ribosomal RNA", at positions 773 to 1310 of the family's 1533-position model. The record is from RNAcentral.
AGGGAAUAGAUACCCUGGUAGUCCUGGCAGUAAACGAUGAGCACUGGGUGUGGGGGGUAUCGAGCCCCUCCGUGCCGUAGUCAAACACAAUAAGUGCUCCGCCUGGGGAGUACGGCCGCAAGGUUAAAACUACAAAGGAAUUGACGGGGGCCCGGCACAAGCAGCGGAGCGUGUGGUUUAAAUUCGAUGCGACGCGAAGAACCUUACCUGGGUUUGACAUGGGCGCGAAACCCCUAGAAAUAGGGUCCCUCUUCGGAGCGCGUUCACAGAUGUUGCAUGGCUGUCGUCAGCUCGUGUCGUGAGAUGUUGGGUUAAGUCCCGCAACGAGCGCAACCCUCGUGGCUAGUUGCCUUAUCUAGCCAGACUGCCUACUAAAUAGGAGGAAGGUGGGGAUGACGUCAAGUCCGCAUGGCUCUUACAUCCAGGGCUACACACACGCUACAAUGGCCGGUACAGAGCGCGGCAAGCUCGCGAGGGCAAGCGAAUCGCAAAAAACCGGUCUCAGUUCGGAUUGCAGGCUGCAA